This 403-nucleotide ribosomal RNA is filed under the name uncultured bacterium. Its description in RNAcentral is "partial 16S ribosomal RNA". It matches the Rfam family "Bacterial small subunit ribosomal RNA", at positions 28 to 526 of the family's 1533-position model. The record is from RNAcentral.
GACGAACGCUGGCGGCGUGCCUAAUACAUGCAAGUCGAACGCAGUGGGGACGGGUGAGUAACACGUGGGUAACCUCCCAUCAGAGGGGAUAACCCUUGGAAACCGGUGCUAAACCGAUACUGAUGGAUGGACCCGCGGUGCAUUAGCUAGUUGGUGGGGUAACGGCUCACCAAGGCCACGAUGCAUAGCCGUACUGAGAGGGUGAUCGGCCACACUGGGACUGAGACACGGCCCAGACUCCUACGGGAGGCAGCAGUGGGGAAUAUUGGGCAAUGGACGCAAGUCUGAUGGAGCAACGCCGCGUGAGUGAAGAAGGUUUUCGGAUCGUAAAACACUGUUGUCAGAGAAGCGGUAUCUAACCAGGAAGCAACGGCUAACUCCGUGCCAGCAGCCGCGGUAAUUC